RNAcentral lists this ribosomal RNA (451 nucleotides) under uncultured Sphingomonadaceae bacterium. Its description in RNAcentral is "bacterial SSU rRNA". It matches the Rfam family "Bacterial small subunit ribosomal RNA", at positions 1 to 507 of the family's 1533-position model. Lineage: Bacteria; Pseudomonadati; Pseudomonadota; Alphaproteobacteria; Sphingomonadales; Sphingomonadaceae. The record is from RNAcentral.
AGUAGUUUGAGUCCUGGCUCGGAACACGCUGGCGGCAUGCCUAACACAUGCAAGUCAACGAGAGGCUUUCGGCUCUAGUGGCGCACGGGUGCGUAACGCUGGGAAUCUGCCCUUGGGUUCGGAAUAACAGUUGGAAACGACUGCUAAUACCGGAUGAUGUCGAUGAGACCAAAGAUUUAUCGCCCGAGGAUGAGCCCGCGUUGGAUUAGCUAGUUGUGGGUAAAGGCCUACCAAGGCGACGAUCCAUAGCUGGUCUGAGAGGAUGAUCAGCCACACUGGGACUGAGGCACGGCCCAGACUCCUACGGGAGGCAGCAGUGGGGAAUAUUGGACAAUGGGCGCAAGCCUGAUCCAGCAAUGCCGCGUGAGUGAUGAAGGCCUUAGGGUUGUAAAGCUCUUUACCCGGGAAGAUAAUGACUGUACCGGGAGAAUAAGCCCCGGCUAACUCCGUG